UCUACAGAUGACUGCUAAGGAACCUAGGGU
This 30-nucleotide non-coding RNA is filed under the name Mus musculus (house mouse). The record is from RNAcentral. Lineage: Eukaryota; Metazoa; Chordata; Mammalia; Rodentia; Muridae.